CAGCCGCCGCGGUAAUACGUAGGGUGCAAGCGUUAAUCGGAAUUACUGGGCGUAAAGCGUGCGCAGGCGGUUAGAUAAGCCAGAUGUGAAAUCCCCGAGCUCAACUUGGGAACUGCGUUUGGAACUGUUUAACUAGAGUGCGUCAGAGGGGGGUGGAAUUCCGCGUGUAGCAGUGAAAUGCGUAGAGAUGUGGAGGAAUACCGAUGGCGAAGGCAGCCCCCUGGGCCAAUACUGACGCUCAUGCACGAAAGCGUGGGGAGCAAACAGGAUUAGAUACCCCCGUAGUCCCUGUCUCUUAUAC
Molecule: ribosomal RNA, 301 nt
Filed under: uncultured bacterium
Lineage: Bacteria
Description: partial 16S ribosomal RNA
Rfam family: Bacterial small subunit ribosomal RNA
Source: RNAcentral